AAACAGAGAGCUAACAAAUUAUAUAACAGUGUGUAGCAGCUGUACGUGGUGGGGAGGUAUAUAACAGUGUGUCAUCAGCUGUACGUGGUGGGGAGGUAUACAAACAGAGCAUAACAAGUUAUAUAACAGUGUGUAAUCAGCUGUACAUGGUGGGGGGUAUACAAACAGAGCAUAACAAGUUAUAUAACAGUGUGUAAUCAGCUGUACGUGGUGGGGAGGUAUACAAACAGAGCAUAACAAGCUUAUAUAACAGUGUGUAAUCAGCUGUACAUGGUGGGGAGGUAUACAAACAGAGCAUAACAAGUUAUAUAACAGUGUGUAAUCAGCUGUACGUGGUGGGGAGGUAUACAAACAGAGCAUAACAAGUUAUAUAACAGUGUGUAAUCAGCUGUACAUGGUGGGGAGGUAUAUAACAGUGUGUAAUCAGCUGUACAUGGUGGGGAGGUAUACAAACAGAGCAUAACAAGUUAUAUAACAGUGUGUAAUCAGCUGUACAUGGUGGCGAGGU
This 508-nucleotide long non-coding RNA is filed under the name Mizuhopecten yessoensis (Yesso scallop). Its description in RNAcentral is "uncharacterized LOC110445196, transcript variant X3". The record is from RNAcentral. Lineage: Eukaryota; Metazoa; Mollusca; Bivalvia; Pectinida; Pectinidae.